GGGCGUAAGGAUGCGUAGGUGGAUGUUUAAGUCAGAUGUGAAAUACCCGAGCUUAACUUGGGUGCUGCAUUUGAAACUGGAUAUCUAGAGUGCAGGAGAGGUAAGUGGAAUUCCUAGUGUAGCGGUGAAAUGCGUAGAGAUUAGGAAGAACACCAGUGGCGAAGGCGACUUACUGGACUGUAACUGACACUGAGGCAUGAAAGCGUGGGUAGCAAACAGGAUUAGAUACCCUGGUAGUCCACGCCGUAAACGAUGAGUACUAGGUGUAGGAGGUAUCGACUCCUUCUGUGCCGCAGUUAACACAAUAAGUACUCCGCCUGGGAAGUACGAUCGCAAGAUUAAAACUCAAAGGAAUUGACGGGGGCCCGCACAAGCAGCGGAGCAUGUGGUUUAAUUCGAAGCAACGCGAAGAACCUUACCUGGACUUGACAUCCCCUGAAUAGUGCAGAGAUGCAUGAAGCCCUUCGGGGCAGGGAGACAGGUGGUGCAUGGUUGUCGUCAGCUCGUGUCGUGAGAUGUUAGGUUAAGUCCUGCAACGAGCGCAACCCUUAUCAUUAGUUGCUACCAUUAAGUUGAGCACUCUAGUGAGACUGCCCGGGUUAACCGGGAGGAAGGUGGGGAUGACGU
This 627-nucleotide ribosomal RNA is filed under the name uncultured bacterium. RNAcentral's name for it is "bacterial SSU rRNA". It matches the Rfam family "Bacterial small subunit ribosomal RNA", at positions 556 to 1185 of the family's 1533-position model. The record is from RNAcentral.